CCCUUAGAUGUUCUGGGCCGCACGCGUGCUACACUGAUGCAUUCAACGAGUCUAAAACCUGGUCUGAUAGGGCUGGGUAAUCUUUUGAAAGUGCAUCGUGAUUGGGAUAGAUGAUUGCAAUUCUUCAUCUUCAACGAGGAAUGCCUAGUAAACGCAAGUCAUCAGCUUGCAUUGAUUACGUCCCUGCCCUUUGUACACACCGCCCGUCGCUCCUACCGAUUGAAUGGUCCGGUGAGGUUCUCGGAUUUUUUCUGUUGUUUGGUUCGCUAAACGAUUGAAGAGAGAAGUUACCCAAACCUUACCAUUUAGAGGAAGGAGAAGUCGUAACA
This 329-nucleotide ribosomal RNA is filed under the name uncultured eukaryote. RNAcentral's name for it is "partial 18S ribosomal RNA". It matches the Rfam family "Eukaryotic small subunit ribosomal RNA", at positions 1470 to 1796 of the family's 1831-position model. The record is from RNAcentral.